Molecule: ribosomal RNA, 997 nt
Filed under: uncultured bacterium
Lineage: Bacteria
Description: bacterial SSU rRNA
Rfam family: Bacterial small subunit ribosomal RNA
Source: RNAcentral
CCGCGUGCAGGAAGACGGCCCUACGGGUUGUAAACUGCUUUUCUGCACCAAGAAUAGGCGCUACGCGUAGCGUUAUGACGGUAGAGCAGGAAUAAGCACCGGCUAACUCCGUGCCAGCAGCCGCGGUAAUACGGAGGGUGCAAGCGUUAUCCGGAUUCAUUGGGUUUAAAGGGUGCGUAGGCGGCCCUGUAAGUCAGUGGUGAAAUGCUGCAGCUCAACUGUAGGACUGCCAUUGAAACUGUGGGGCUUGAGUGCGCCUGAGGUAGGCGGAAUGAGUAGUGUAGCGGUGAAAUGCUUAGAUAUUACUCAGAACACCGAUCGCGAAGGCAGCUUACUAAAGCGUAACUGACGCUGAUGCACGAAAGCGUGGGGAGCGAACAGGAUUAGAUACCCUGGUAGUCCACGCCGUAAACGAUGAUAACUCGCUGUUGGCGAUACACAGUCAGCGGCAAAGCGAAAGCAUUAAGUUAUCCACCUGGGGAGUACGAUCGCAAGGUUGAAACUCAAAGGAAUUGACGGGGGCCCGCACAAGCGGAGGAACAUGCGGUUUAAUUCGAUGAUACGCGAGGAACCUUACCUGGGCUUAAAUGUGGAUUGACCGUUGCUGAAAAGUGACUUCCCUUCGGGGCAAUUUACAAGGUGCUGCAUGGUUGUCGUCAGCUCGUGCCGUGAGGUGUCGGGUUAAGUCCCAUAACGAGCGCAACCCCUAUCGUCAGUUGCUAACAGGUCAAGCUGAGGACUCUGGCGAGACUGCCACCGUAAGGUGAGAGGAAGGUGGGGAUGACGUCUAAUCAGCACGGCCCUUAUGUCCAGGGCUACACACGUGUUACAAUGGUCGGUACAAAGGGCAGCUACAUAGUGAUAUGAUGCUAAUCCCAAAAGCCGGUCUCAGUUCGGAUUGGAGUCUGCAACCCGACUCCAUGAAGCUGGAUUCGCUAGUAAUCGCGCAUCAGCCAUGGCGCGGUGAAUACGUUCCCGGGCCUUGUACACACCGCCC